This 550-nucleotide ribosomal RNA is filed under the name uncultured bacterium. RNAcentral's name for it is "partial 16S ribosomal RNA". It matches the Rfam family "Bacterial small subunit ribosomal RNA", at positions 355 to 895 of the family's 1533-position model. The record is from RNAcentral.
UGGGGAAUUUUGGACAAUGGGCGAAAGCCUGAUCCAGCAAUGCCGCGUGUGUGAAGAAGGCCUUCGGGUUGUAAAGCACUUUUGUCCGGAAAGAAAUCCUUGGCUCUAAUACAGUCGGGGGAUGACGGUACCGGAAGAAUAAGCACCGGCUAACUACGUGCCAGCAGCCGCGGUAAUACGUAGGGUGCAAGCGUUAAUCGGAAUUACUGGGCGUAAAGCGUGCGCAGGCGGUUUGCUAAGACCGAUGUGAAAUCCCCGGGCUCAACCUGGGAACUGCAUUGGUGACUGGCAGGCUAGAGUAUGGCAGAGGGGGGUAGAAUUCCACGUGUAGCAGUGAAAUGCGUAGAGAUGUGGAGGAAUACCGAUGGCGAAAGGCAGCCCCCUGGGCCAAUACUGACGCUCAUGCACGAAAGCGUGGGGAGCAAAACAGGAUUAGAUACCCCUGGUAGUCCACGCCCUAAAACGAUGUCAACUAGUUGUUGGGGAUUCAUUUCUUAGUAACGUAGCUAACGCGUGAAGUUGACCGCCUGGGGAGUACGGUCGCAAGAUU